Molecule: ribosomal RNA, 1646 nt
Filed under: Escherichia coli
Lineage: Bacteria; Pseudomonadati; Pseudomonadota; Gammaproteobacteria; Enterobacterales; Enterobacteriaceae
Description: partial 23S ribosomal RNA
Rfam family: Bacterial large subunit ribosomal RNA
Source: RNAcentral
GACGUGCUAAUCUGCGAUAAGCGUCGGUAAGGUGAUAUGAACCGUUAUAACCGGCGAUUUCCGAAUGGGGAAACCCAGUGUGUUUCGACACACUAUCAUUAACUGAAUCCAUAGGUUAAUGAGGCGAACCGGGGGAACUGAAACAUCUAAGUACCCCGAGGAAAAGAAAUCAACCGAGAUUCCCCCAGUAGCGGCGAGCGAACGGGGAGCAGCCCAGAGCCUGAAUCAGUGUGUGUGUUAGUGGAAGCGUCUGGAAAGGCGCGCGAUACAGGGUGACAGCCCCGUACACAAAAAUGCACAUGCUGUGAGCUCGAUGAGUAGGGCGGGACACGUGGUAUCCUGUCUGAAUAUGGGGGGACCAUCCUCCAAGGCUAAAUACUCCUGACUGACCGAUAGUGAACCAGUACCGUGAGGGAAAGGCGAAAAGAACCCCGGCGAGGGGAGUGAAAAAGAACCUGAAACCGUGUACGUACAAGCAGUGGGAGCACGCUUAGGCGUGUGACUGCGUACCUUUUGUAUAAUGGGUCAGCGACUUAUAUUCUGUAGCAAGGUUAACCGAAUAGGGGAGCCGAAGGGAAACCGAGUCUUAACUGGGCGUUAAGUUGCAGGGUAUAGACCCGAAACCCGGUGAUCUAGCCAUGGGCAGGUUGAAGGUUGGGUAACACUAACUGGAGGACCGAACCGACUAAUGUUGAAAAAUUAGCGGAUGACUUGUGGCUGGGGGUGAAAGGCCAAUCAAACCGGGAGAUAGCUGGUUCUCCCCGAAAGCUAUUUAGGUAGCGCCUCGUGAAUUCAUCUCCGGGGGUAGAGCACUGUUUCGGCAAGGGGGUCAUCCCGACUUACCAACCCGAUGCAAACUGCGAAUACCGGAGAAUGUUAUCACGGGAGACACACGGCGGGUGCUAACGUCCGUCGUGAAGAGGGAAACAACCCAGACCGCCAGCUAAGGUCCCAAAGUCAUGGUUAAGUGGGAAACGAUGUGGGAAGGCCCAGACAGCCAGGAUGUUGGCUUAGAAGCAGCCAUCAUUUAAAGAAAGCGUAAUAGCUCACUGGUCGAGUCGGCCUGCGCGGAAGAUGUAACGGGGCUAAACCAUGCACCGAAGCUGCGGCAGCGACACUAUGUGUUGUUGGGUAGGGGAGCGUUCUGUAAGCCUGUGAAGGUGUGCUGUGAGGCAUGCUGGAGGUAUCAGAAGUGCGAAUGCUGACAUAAGUAACGAUAAAGCGGGUGAAAAGCCCGCUCGCCGGAAGACCAAGGGUUCCUGUCCAACGUUAAUCGGGGCAGGGUGAGUCGACCCCUAAGGCGAGGCCGAAAGGCGUAGUCGAUGGGAAACAGGUUAAUAUUCCUGUACUUGGUGUUACUGCGAAGGGGGGACGGAGAAGGCUAUGUUGGCCGGGCGACGGUUGUCCCGGUUUAAGCGUGUAGGCUGGUUUUCCAGGCAAAUCCGGAAAAUCAAGGCUGAGGCGUGAUGACGAGGCACUACGGUGCUGAAGCAACAAAUGCCCUGCUUCCAGGAAAAGCCUCUAAGCAUCAGGUAACAUCAAAUCGUACCCCAAACCGACACAGGUGGUCAGGUAGAGAAUACCAAGGCGCUUGAGAGAACUCGGGUGAAGGAACUAGGCAAAAUGGUGCCGUAACUUCGGGAGAA